CUCAGGAUGAACGCUGAGCGGUCUGCUUAACACAUGCAAGUCGAACGCAACCUUCGGGUUGAGUGGCGGACGGGUGAGUAACGCGUGAGAAUCUGCCUUGGGGUCGGGGACAACCACUGGAAACGGUGGCUAAUACCGGAUAAGCCUUUGGGUAAAAAAUUUAUUGCCCCAAGAGGAGCUCGCGUCUGAUUAGCUAGUUGGUGAGGUAAAAGCUCACCAAGGCAGCGAUCAGUAGCUGGUCUGAGAGGACGAUCAGCCACACUGGGACUGAGACACGGCCCAGACUCCUACGGGAGGCAGCAGUGGGGAAUUUUCCGCAAUGGGCGAAAGCCUGACGGAGCAAGACCGCGUGAGGGAGGAAGGCUCUUGGGUUGUAAACCUCUUUUCUCAGGGAAGAAGCUCUGACGGUACCUGAGGAAUCAGCCUCGGCUAACUCCGUGCCAGCAGCCGCGGUAAUACGGAGGAGGCAAGCGUUAUCCGGAAUUAUUGGGCGUAAAGCGUCCGCAGGUGGCGAUUCAAGUCUGCUGUCAAAGCACGGGGCUUAACUCCGUUAAGGCAGUGGAAACUGAAUAGCUAGAGUGCCGUAGGGGUAGAGGGAAUUCCCGGUGUAGCGGUGAAAUGCGUAGAGAUCGGGAAGAACAUCGGUGGCGAAAGCGCUCUACUGGACGGCAACUGACACUCAGGGACGAAAGCUAGGGGAGCGAAUGGGAUUAGAUACCCCAGUAGUCCUAGCUGUAAACGAUGGAUACUAGGUGUAGCUUGUAUCGACCCGAGCUGUGCCGAAAGCUAACGCGUUAAGUAUCCCGCCUGGGGAGUACGCACGCAAGUGUGAAAC
Molecule: ribosomal RNA, 835 nt
Filed under: uncultured organism
Description: bacterial SSU rRNA
Rfam family: Bacterial small subunit ribosomal RNA
Source: RNAcentral